Molecule: ribosomal RNA, 677 nt
Filed under: uncultured Planctomycetota bacterium
Lineage: Bacteria; Pseudomonadati; Planctomycetota
Description: bacterial SSU rRNA
Rfam family: Bacterial small subunit ribosomal RNA
Source: RNAcentral
UAUGNAAAGAACUAGGCGUGAAUUAAGGCUGCAAGUCGAGCGAGAAGCCUGCUUCGGCAGGCGGACAGCGGCGAAAGGGACAGUAAUGUGUAGGUACCUACCCCUGGGUUCGGGAUAGCUGCGGGAAACUGCAGGUAAUACCGAAUAAUGUCUCCGGACCAAAGGUGUGAUUCCACCUGGGGAGGGGCCUGCAUCCUAUUAGCUUGUUGGUGGGGUAACGGCCUACCAAGGCAACGAUGGGUAGCGGGUGUGAGAGCAUGACCCGCGUCAUUGGGACUGAGACACUGCCCAGACACCUACGGGUGGCUGCAGUCGAGAAUCUUCGGCAAUGGGCGAAAGCCUGACCGAGCGACGCCGCGUGCGGGAUGAAGGCCCUCGGGUUGUAAACCGCUGUCGUAGAGGAGGAAGUGCAGGGGGGUUCUCCCCUUUGCUUGACCUAUUCUAGGAGGAAGUACGGGCUAAGUUCGUGCCAGCAGCCGCGGUAAGACGAACCGUACAAACGUUACUCGGAAUUACUGGGCUUAAAGGGUGCGUAGGCUGCGCGGAAAGUUGGGUGUGAAAGCCCUCGGCUCAACCGAGGAAUUGCAUCCAAAACUACCGUGCUCGAGGGAGACAGAGGGUAAGCGAACUCAAGGUGGAGCGGUGAAAUGCGUUGAUAUCUUUGAGAACACCGGUGG